GCCGGGCGUGGUGGCGGGUGCCUGUAAUCCCAGCUGCUCAGGAGGCUGAGACAGGAGAAUUGCUUGGACCCGGGAGGCAGAGGUUGCAGUGAGCCAAGAUCGUGCCACUGCACUCCAUCCUGGGUGACAGAGCGAGACUCUGUCUCAA
RNAcentral lists this non-coding RNA (148 nucleotides) under Gorilla gorilla gorilla (western lowland gorilla). The record is from Rfam by way of RNAcentral. Lineage: Eukaryota; Metazoa; Chordata; Mammalia; Primates; Hominidae.